This 94-nucleotide non-coding RNA is filed under the name Clostridium nigeriense. RNAcentral's name for it is "Purine riboswitch". It matches the Rfam family "Purine riboswitch aptamer". From Rfam's summary of the family: Riboswitches are metabolite binding domains within certain messenger RNAs that serve as precision sensors for their corresponding targets. Allosteric rearrangement of mRNA structure is mediated by ligand binding, and this results in modulation of gene expression. The record is from RNAcentral. Lineage: Bacteria; Bacillati; Bacillota; Clostridia; Eubacteriales; Clostridiaceae.
UAAAGUAUAUUAAAUGCUUCGUAUAACCCUAAUAAUACGGUUUAGGGGUUUCUACCAAGAACCAUUAAUUCUUGAUUACGAGGAAAUCAUUUAU